CACCGCCCGUCACACCAUGGGAGUUUGUUUGCACCAGAAGCAGGUAGCUUAACCGCAAGGAGGGCGCUUGCCACGGUGUGGCCGAUGACUGGGGUG
This 96-nucleotide ribosomal RNA is filed under the name uncultured bacterium. RNAcentral describes it as "partial 16S ribosomal RNA". It matches the Rfam family "Bacterial small subunit ribosomal RNA", at positions 1388 to 1482 of the family's 1533-position model. The record is from RNAcentral.